This 956-nucleotide unclassified non-coding RNA is filed under the name Drosophila virilis. RNAcentral's name for it is "GJ24459". Lineage: Eukaryota; Metazoa; Arthropoda; Insecta; Diptera; Drosophilidae. The record is from RNAcentral.
UAAACAUAUCACAGAUUUUACACACAGAACGUAGAACAUAAAUUUUAGGGAAUUUAAAAUCAUUUCGUGUUAGUUGGUUAGUUUGAUUGAAAUUCUUCGUAUUGAAAAUUAAGAGCCCGCUAAAUGGAAAACGCCGAAAACAAUAAGGAGCUGAAUGUUUUAACAGCCUUACCGAAGGAUAUUGAUAUCGAGAAUACCCAACACAUAUGCCUCUACCUGCGGAAUCUACGGGCACGGCUCAAGCAAACGAUACAGCAGCACACUGACUUGAUUCAGACUUCAGUGAACAUAAUCAGGGAGAUGGCUGAUGUGUCCACAAUGCUGGCAAUGACGCAGUCCGGAACAGAGCAGCAGCCUACUAAAAUCAAGCGACUGAUUAUGGACUUUGAAAACAUGCACACAGGUGACAAUGGCUUGAGCUCAGUCGAGGCAAUGGAACUGCGUGAGCUGCUCGCUGAUUUUCGACGACUUCACGAGAGUCAACUGCUGCGCGAUAGCCUGAUGUGUUUCAAGCGCGCCAAGGAGUCCUUCGAAAAGGUUGAUACCUUGCUGGGCCAAUCUGGCCAAAGUGUUCUCGGCGAAUCGGGCCAGCCAUCGCCUCAGAGCAGUCAGGCAGUGGUGAGCAGCAAUAGUGCUAGUCGCAGUCUGCGGGAGAAGAUUUUGGCCUUCAACAAGGCCUCCGAGAAGGGCCAGAAUAUGUUGCAAAAUUUUACGCAUUGCUUUAGCAAAAUGAGUACUGCGAAUAUUGCAUCUGCUGCUGAAGCGCAGGCAAACCCGACUGCAUCGCGUUCCCGCACGAAUUCCGGCUACGAGGGUGACGUGGACAGUGAAAUCGAUCAAACUGAUAAUGCCAAAAGUAAGGAACAAGUUAUCAAACCUAAUAACUGAGGCAUAUUUAUGGUUUAAGUUUAUUAUACACGUAUAUCAUACCAAAUAAUGAGCUAUGCCUAACAUGU